Molecule: ribosomal RNA, 1506 nt
Filed under: Triticum aestivum (bread wheat)
Lineage: Eukaryota; Viridiplantae; Streptophyta; Magnoliopsida; Poales; Poaceae
Description: partial small subunit ribosomal RNA
Source: RNAcentral
AUGCGGCACCUGACCGCGACAAGCCGGCGUCGUCGCCUCGGCGCGACCAGGACGUGCGCCUCCUGGGCGGGCUGCUCUCCCCGGCCUUCGACGACCAGUCGUGCCGUUCGCGGUACGCGUCGCCGUCCCUCUACCGCCGUCCGUCGCCGUUCCGCCCCGUCGUCCCACCUCGUGGCGCGCCUCCGGCGGUACGAGGCCUGGCACAGGCGGUGUGGCCCCGGAUCGCCGCUCUUCGGGGAAGCCGUCGAGCACCUGCGCUCCGGCCGCAACGCCGCGCGCUCCGAGUGCCAGUACGCGGUGUGGACGCCCUUCAACGGCCUCGGCAACCGCAUGCUCGCGCUCGCCUCCACGCUCCUGUACGCGCUGCUCACCGACCGAGUCCUGCUGGUGCACGCGCCGCAGGAGUUCGACGGCCUCUUCUGCGAGCCCUUCCCCGGCAGCUCCUGGACGCUGCCCGCCGGCUUUCCGAUCGCCGACUUCGACGCCACCUUCACCAUGUUGUCGCCCACGAGCUACAAGAACAUGAAGAAGGCCGGCACGAUAAACGGCGGUGACCGUGUCAACGUUACCGCCGAGGGGCUCCCCGCGUACGUGUUCCUCGACCUCAUCCAGUCCUACACCGACGCCGCCUUCUGCGAAGCCGACCAGCGCGUGCUCGCCAAGUUCAACUGGAUGGUGGUCAAGUCCGACGUCUACUUCGCCACCGCGCUCUUCCUCAUGCCGGCGUACCGGCGCGAGCUCGCACGGCUAUUCCCGGAGAAGGAGGCCGCGUUCCACCACCUCGCGCGGUACCUCUUCCACCCGUCCAACGACGUGUGGGGCAUCGUCCGUGAAUUCUACGAGGCCUACCUCGCCGGGGCAGACGAGUGCGUCGGCCUGCAGGUGCGCGUGUUCCAGGAGGUGCCGGUGCCGUUCGAGACCAUGUACGGCCAGAUCAUGCGCUGCUCGGAGCAGGAGGGUUUGCUACCCAAGGUCGCACUCGCACAGCAGAAUGCCGCCGCGGCGAGAAACACCUCUGCCGUGCCGCCGCCGGACGGCAGGAAGACGAAGGUGACAUCGAUACUGGUGACGUCGCUGUCCCCGGAGUACUACGAGCGCAUCCGCGGCGUGUACCACGCCAACUGGACGGAGACCGGGGAUUACGUGGUGGUGCACCAGCCGAGCCACGACGGCGUGCAGCACACGGAGGCGCGCGGCCACAACCAGAGGGCGCUGGCGGAGAUAUACCUGCUGAGCUUCUGCGACCGCAUCGUGACGACGGCCGUGUCGACGUUCGGGUACGUGGCGCACGGGCUGGCCGGGGUGAGGUCGUGGGUGCUGCUGCGGUCGCCGUCGCCAGAGACGCGGGCCGAGCCCGCGUGCGUCCGGUCGUCGACCGUGGAGCCCUGCAUGCAGGCCGCGCCGAGACAGAUGUGCGGUGCGGCGAAAGGGAGCGACAUUGGAGGUCUCGCGCCGUAUGUCCGGCACUGCGAGGAUGUGCAUGGAGGCGUCAAGCUAUUUAGCUAG